ACUCGAUGGACAAUCCAUCAGAACUGUAAGGUUUUCUGGAGUGCUGAUCAUUUUUCUUUGCGACCCCACAGAUUUGUUUUUGCAACAUUUAAGAUACGUAUCGGAUCCAAGGAAAUUUCAUGAUGCAGCCUUCCGGGAUUUUAUCUUCCGAAACUGAGGGACCAGGCGUGUGCUUAGAAGUAUGCAGUGGCAAUCUCAAGGUGUAAGAGUAAAGCUGUCUCAAGGAAGACACUGGAAAAUAUGGUCAUGCUGCCAGGCUUGCUGGGGACUUGGACUGACAUAGGUUUCUGUCAUGAAGGACUAGAAUCCUUCUGAGAAGGGAUAAGGAGAGGUAUGUCAGAAGUCUUGCUGAGGAUGUCGAGGGUUUUCUCAAUACAAACGACCUUAAACCUGCCUUCCAAGCUCUGAAAAAGCUCCGUUCCAAAUCAAAAUCUCAGACAAGUAACAAAUAAAUAGCUGAUGGGUAGAUAGUAUCAGAUGUGGAUGGGUACUGGGCACGUUGGAUACUUUGGGCAGCUGUACAAGCAGUCAUCUUCCUCUUGCUGGUUUGCAGAUGGUGGCUGCUGAUCCACUCCACCAAUGGAUGAAAUUCCACCGUUGCGGAUGUGAGAGAUGCUGUGAGAAAGUUGAAGGAUGAAAAGGCAGCUGGGGUCUGUAAUAUCAGGGCAGAGUUGCUGAAAGACAAACGGGUUCACACCUGCACUGGGAGGAGUUGGUGUAACAAGACUUCUUCAGCUUCCACCCUUUAGCAAGAACCACCAUGGUUCAUGAGUCAUUUGGGCAAGGAAAACCACCGCAUCCAGAAUCCUGCAGCUGUGCGUAUAAUGGAUCAUAGUUCUUCAGAGUAGGGUUUGCUUACUAUUUGGGUCUUGUAAAUGUCUUCCCCUCCCUCUCUAUUUCCUUUCUUUUCCUCUUUCCCUUUUCUUCUACCUUCCUUUUUCUGAAAAUCUACCCUACUACAAUAUGAGUAACCAUUUCUUCACAAAUAGAUAACUAAAUACCAGGCAUGGGGAGCCACACAGGUCUUAGUACUACUUUUCCUUACAUCUUUCCUUCUCUCUUUUUCCUCAUUUCCGUUGCUUCUUAUCACCCUGUGGGAAGCUCUUUGGAUUCAUGUUUAGAUUUUGGGAGGGUUCGCGAAAAUUGUCAAUUCUCCACUAAAAAGCUAAAGUCAUCCCACCUUAUUUUAUACUACCUUUUUAUCAUGUAUUCUUAUAUUUCCCUCAUAUGACACAACGAUUGUCAUAAAUGUAUAUCUUAUAAAAAUAUUAUAUAAUCUGCAAAAGUGCCAAAAUUGUCACCUAUAAAAAAUGAAAGUUAGCAUACUCAUCAUUUAUAUACAGGAACCUCUUAAUUUACGCGAGUAUUGUGUUUGCGGUGAGUUUGUAUAAUGUAAAUUUCGCAUAAUAUAAACAACUUUUCCAUACUGUA
Eriocheir sinensis (Chinese mitten crab) is the source of this 1431-nucleotide long non-coding RNA. RefSeq lists it as uncharacterized. The record is from RefSeq and is a predicted model, not a curated record. The transcript is spliced from 2 exons. NCBI's taxonomy places the organism in Eukaryota, Metazoa, Arthropoda, Malacostraca, Decapoda, Varunidae.